RNAcentral lists this long non-coding RNA (1399 nucleotides) under Salvia miltiorrhiza (redroot sage). RNAcentral describes it as "long non-coding RNA (SMIL_LNC006747)". Lineage: Eukaryota; Viridiplantae; Streptophyta; Magnoliopsida; Lamiales; Lamiaceae. The record is from RNAcentral.
AUCAAUCAAUGGCCUCAGAAAUUUAUACGAGAGCAUUGAUGAUUUGCUUCUCUUGCCUCACAUUCAACAGAUUGUUUCUGAGGAAUGUGUUGAUGGUUACAUCAACCUAUUGGAUUCUUGCAGCUCAGUUAAGGAUCUCAUCUCACUUUCCAAGCAAAAUUUAAGAGAGCUUUUGUCUGCUCUAAGGAGAAAGGAUGUUCGAGGCAUCAAUGGCUACCUUGCUUCCAGAAAAAGGUUAAAGAAAAUGAUCCAAAAGUGUUUAAAGAAUAUGAGACGUAGCAGCGCCUCAGCCUCUUCUGAGAAUGCUUCCAUGUUGACAGAUGCAGAGUCCGUUGCCAUUUCCUUGCUCGAGUCUCUUGGUCGUUGGUGUCAAAGCUGAUGCAGUCCAAGAAAGCAUCAGACGACGAGAAUGAGUUCAACAAUAAAAAGCAAUGGCUCUUCACCACAGCCGCUCUCUUAGCUUCCCAUCUGCAUCACAUCCUGCUGUUUCCCACUUCGAUGAAAACUUAUCAAGAUUGAGAUCUUCGGAGGCUGCUUGCUCCUCCCUCUCAUCAAUCAACGCCACAAUCAGAAGCUCCAACUGUGACAGCCCAUGUUUAAGGGAUUUCGACUUCAACGGUGAAUCUGCCAGUUUUUGUUUCCAGUUCAUUUUAAUAAGCCUACAAAUUGAACAGAAAAGAGUUAUAGCAUAUAUGAAAAUAUUAAGAUUAAAAAUCCAUAUCUAUUUUAUGCAUGAAUUUUCAGCCAAAGGGAAAUACAGGUUGGCUGCAAGAAUAUGAAGCCUCUACCUCAGACAAAAUGAAUUUAAAAAAAUAGAUUCUGCAGAUCUGUGCUUCUGUUUGAGGGUAUAUAAUAUGGACACUGCACGAAGAGCUGACCUUUAUUAAAAGAAAUGCACGUUGAAUCUCGCCUCGUUUCUCAUUCAUCACAAGCUCUCAUGGAGCUGCCAACUGUGUAAACUCUGUGCUGCAUAGAUAAUGAUGGAGCUUUGAUUGCUUAUUUUCAGACAAAUUAAUACAAUAUUCUCAUCAUAUGUUUCUUCACCAAGAGCAAACCCUGAAAUCUGCUCGUGCAUUACAUUAAAAUAAUUUCAAGAUAACUAUAUUUUAUGGCUGUUAUUUAUGGUCUGUCAUUGGGAAAAUAAUGCAGAUUCCUUAUGUCCUUUUCCUCACUAUAUAAUAAGCACAUAUAUUUUUGUUAGAUGCAUCACAAUUUUCUUGAUUCAAUUCCAAUUCUAAGCCUUACUUUCACCAAGUAAAAAAACAAAACAAUGGCUCCCUCACCUUUGAGAUCCAAGUCACUUAACCAUGGCCGCUCUCUUAGCUUCCCAUCUUCAUCACAUCCUGCUCCUACUCACUUCGAUGAGAACUUAUCCAGAUUGAGAUCUUCCGAGGCUGCU